Non-coding RNA from Arachis ipaensis, 527 nucleotides. The record is from RefSeq and is a predicted model, not a curated record. Lineage: Eukaryota; Viridiplantae; Streptophyta; Magnoliopsida; Fabales; Fabaceae.
GUUCUCUGAAGUCACUGCGUUUCUCCUCCGAUCCAUUCGAUGGUGUCGUCCUCCAUCUGCGGCGGCGGCGUCGGCGUCGUCGUCCUUGGCAGCGUGAGCGUCCAUCGUCUUCAUCGUCCGUCGUCCUUGGUCUGCGCUGCACUGCUCUGCGCUGGUCGUGCGUCUGCUCUACUCUACUUCCCACUGGUGGUGUGUCGCUUCUGUCGCGUUCGCUCGUCGUGGAUCGCUACGCCGCUACUCGUGUCGCCACACCUCGCCGCACCUCGCCUUGCUGCCUGAAGUCUAUCUGCCAAAAUAGGCUUCGCCUCAUGAUUUCUUUCGGGGUGGAGGUCGAGAUGGGGAAGGCUUAAACUAUCUUGUUCGCUUAUUGAUGAAGCUAAGAUCAGAGUUUCUUGGCGAGUCGUCAUCAUCGUGCGAACAAUUGAAGUUUUUAACACUUGUCUGAUCAAUGAGCAUGAUCAAAUUGAUCCAUUUUGAGGGUUUGGGUGAGGCUGAUUGGACAUUACUGCAACUUUAGUCAGAGUCUA